This 1592-nucleotide long non-coding RNA is filed under the name Nicotiana benthamiana. RNAcentral describes it as "long non-coding RNA (NBEN_LNC016309)". The record is from RNAcentral. Lineage: Eukaryota; Viridiplantae; Streptophyta; Magnoliopsida; Solanales; Solanaceae.
UUUAGGCUCCCUCUCUCUACUCUCUCUCUAAGUAUCUUGUAUAAACUCUCUCCUUUGUAAUUCUUUUGAAGAUUUAUACAUUCGAGAAUUCAACUAAAUGGGCCGUCGGCCUUAAAGGUAUUUAUUUUUCUUCUGUCUUAUUUUCUUUCUCCUCUCUCUAAGCCGUGAUGAUGUUCGGCUGAGAAUAUUCAUGUCUAUGAAAGAUUUCUAACUUCCUUUACUUAUUAACUAUGAAAGAUCUAGACUUAUCAAAAUAUGAAGAAAUUUUAUUGAGAUUUUUGGCUUGGUUCCGAGAUGGUGGUACAGCCAGAUUCAAUAUUUUUUUUAUUGUCUUUGACUUAGUGGCUUCGUCUAACAAGCUAUGACAUCCAGCCCGUUUAGUUUUGUGUGUUAAGGGUAUUUUAGUCAUGGUCAGAACCGUUAGACACAUGGGUUCAAUAAGAAAAGCUAUCGAAUGUUGAUAGGCCCCUUGCUUGGGUAAAGGUUACCAUAUAGUCAUUAAACUCUAUAAAAUUCCUCUAUAUUUCGACUAUAAGAUUUUAUGCGGAUUAUCGCCAGUCCUUAAAGCAUAGUUAUUAAUUGCUGAAUCAAAGUACGCGCCGUGCGGAUUACCGCCAGCCCAGACCAAGAUCAUGCUGAAUCAAAGUAGUAAAAUUUGCAUGUAGUAGCUACUGUUUAAUGCUGUAUUUCAUUUUUAUCCACUGAUUAAAAUACUUAUCAAAAAUAGCCACUACUAAGGCGGAAAAGACAUAAUUACCCUUUCUCUAUAUCGAUUAUAAUCCCAAAAUUGUCCCAAACCUUUAUUUUCAUUCAGACGAUAGCGGUUUCAGGCUUUCCUCUUCUCUGCUUCUUCAUCUUCCUUGCUUGCUAUCUGCAAUAUUCAGUUAAAGUUCUGCUCCUUCAUCUUCUCUGUCAUCUACUACGUCUACUUCUGUCAAUCGUGACUGGUAAUUUUUUUCUUUUAUGCAUUUUCGUUUUUCUUUAUGUGUAAGUUGGUUCAAUUCCUUGUGAAGUAUGUUUGAUAUUUCAAUAAUGAGCAUAUUAUGUUGAUUCAGUGUCGUAUAUGCUGUGUGAAGUAUGUUUGAUAUUUAAAAAUGAGCAUAUUAUGUUGAUUCAGUGUUGUAUAUGUAGUCUGAUUCUGAUUUUGAUAAUUUUUUAGUCUGUGAAAGUUGAAAUUUGUUUGUGGUUGGUUCAAUCUAUUUGAUUAUGCAGUGAUAUUUCAUAAAAAUAGUUGUAGAAAUUCAUAAGCUUACUGUGUUUAUGAAUUUUUAUCAAUGCUGUGUGAAGUAUGUUUGAUAUUUAAAAAUGAGCAUAUUAUGUUGAUUCAGUGUUGUAUAUGUAGUCUGAUUCUGAUUUUGAUAAUUUUUUAGUCUGUGAAAGUUGAAAUUUGUUUGUGGUUGGUUCAAUCUAUUUGAUUAUGCAGUGAUAUUUCAUAAAAAUAAUUAUAUAAUUCAUAAGCUUACUGUGUUUAUAAAUUUUUAUUUAACCGUGUUAAUGAUGUAUAAGGAGGAAUCGUAAUUAAAUGUGAAGGUGGAACUCAAAGUUAAGGACUGAUUGUCCUUAACUUUUGCACAUGAAACUUGAAGUUUAGG